This is an RNA transcript of Colius striatus (speckled mousebird), 6122 nucleotides long. It is a transcript of the gene named 5-hydroxytryptamine receptor 2A, with no coding region annotated. The record is from RefSeq and is a predicted model, not a curated record. NCBI's taxonomy places the organism in Eukaryota, Metazoa, Chordata, Aves, Coliiformes, Coliidae. The transcript is spliced from 4 exons.
CCUCACAGCACAGGAACUGGCUGCACUCAAGUGGGCAGUUUAGAAGUCAAAAAACUGUUCUAAAUAUCACCAUUUCGGAGGAGGCUGAAGAAAAAGGAUACGAAACUGGCUAAACACAGAGAAGAAUAUGGUAAAUCAGGGUACAAAGUGCACCUAAUUGGAGUUUGAGAUUGGACUCUGAAGUACAACGUAAGUCUUCCUUUAAAUUGCUUUUUUGUUUUCUUUUUAUCAUCACAGUAUCCACUUGUUUAAUUUCCAUUCUGGAGCCAGGCUGGGCCAAGAAGGUACAAUUAGCUAUAAAAAUCAGCAUGGAGCAGGAUAUGUGAACUCUGAUAUAAGACUGAAAAUGAUACUGAACUACAACAGAAGCUAGAGACUAUCAGCCAUCCUAUGGAAGAUGAACUAUAAAUAAGAGCAUAUCUAAUUAUUACAAGAGAAAGAUGCUGGAUGGAAUCUUUAAUCAACUUUCUUAAUAGGGAAGCCACAGUUCUGCUGUUUUGUUCGGCAAGCUAUUUUAAUACUGCUGUGUUUAAAACUGUGUGAUUACAGUUACCAAUAGCAAUAAGAUGUAGCUCCAGAGGGGAGUCCUAGUGGUUGCAAAAGUUUUUUUCUCUUUUAUUUCUCCAACAUUUUUGCUCUCUGAAGCCUCAAGUACACAUUCUGUAUCCUACAGCUUGGUUUUACUUUUCAGAUGGCUUUUCAAUGUAUGCCAACACUGGACUUCCAAUGGAACUGAAAACAAAACAUUGCAACUUUCUGAGUAAUUCUGGUAUGUUUUUCUACAUCAGUCUAGUGGCAAAAACAGUGUCAACAAAAGAUUGUGCUCCCUCAACUUCUGGUGUGGACAGCUGAGGAAUACAAAGCCUAAUGGUGACAAAGGGUGGUAAUUUCCUAUUUUUCACUAUUUAUCUCACUGAUUUUGGGCUCAGCAAUGGAUAUUCUUUGUGAUGAGGAGUGUUCUGCGAACCCAACUUCAAACUCUUUAAUACAAAUAAAUCAUGAGAGAAGACUCUACAGGAAUGUUUAUGGAGCUGGAGAGAUUAACAUAUCACAUCUCUUCAACUUGACUGUGGACUCUGAAAACCUAACGAAUCUUUCAUGUGAAAGUAACACAAGUCCACCGUGCUACUCUUCCCUGUUUCAGCUUUCACAGAAAAACUGGCCAGCUUUACUGACAGUGAUAGUGAUUGUUUUAACCAUUGCUGGAAAUAUACUUGUCAUCAUGGCUGUGUCACUGGAGAAAAAACUACAGAAUGCCACUAACUAUUUUCUCAUGUCACUUGCAAUAGCUGAUAUGCUGCUGGGUUUCCUUGUCAUGCCCGUGUCAAUGCUGACCAUAUUGUACGGAUACACAUGGCCUCUACCCACAAAGCUCUGUGCUGUUUGGAUCUACUUGGACGUGCUUUUCUCCACUGCCUCCAUCAUGCACCUCUGUGCCAUUUCACUGGAUCGCUAUAUUGCCAUUCGAAACCCCAUCCAUCACAGCCGGUUUAACUCAAGAACUAAGGCUUUUGCCAAAAUAAUUGCUGUUUGGACCAUAUCAGUUGGUAUCUCCAUGCCUAUACCUGUCUUUGGACUACAAGAUGACUCCAAAGUGUUUAAGAAAGGCAGCUGCUUACUUGCAGAUGACAAUUUUGUCCUAGUAGGCUCUUUUGUGUCAUUCUUCAUCCCUCUAACCAUCAUGGUGGUCACCUACUUUUUAACUAUCAAGACGCUGCAGAAGGAAGCUACUCUAUGCGUGAAUGACGUUGGCCCAAAGACCAAGUUUGCUUCGUUUAGCUUCCUCCCUCAGAGUUCCCUGUCCUCAGAGAAACUCUUUCAGCGCUCUUUGAACAGAGACGCGGGGACUUCUGGGAGGAGAACCAUGCAAUCCAUCAGCAACGAGCAGAAGGCUUCCAAGGUUCUUGGCAUUGUCUUCUUUCUGUUUGUUGUGAUGUGGUGCCCGUUUUUCAUCACCAAUGUGAUGGCUGUAAUUUGCAAGGAGUCGUGCAACCAAGAAGUCAUUGGAGGACUCCUGAAUGUGUUUGUUUGGAUUGGCUACCUCUCUUCGGCUGUCAACCCACUCGUAUAUACGUUGUUCAACAAGACCUACCGCUCGGCGUUCUCACGUUACAUUCAGUGCCGCUACAAGGAGGAGAAGAAACCUUUCCAGCUGAUUCUAGUGAACACUAUCCCAGCACUCGCAUAUAAUUCCAGCCAACUCCAGCUAGCACAAAUGAAGACUUUGAAAAAGGAGGCAAAAAUGAUGGCUAAGGAUUAUUCGACAGUCACGAUAGGAAUCCGUCAUUUGGAUGGUACCUCCAAGGGAAGUAUCAGCCCAGGGAAUGAAAAGGUUAGCGGUGUGUGACGGUCGGCAGCUGCCAUGACAACCACCAUGAGUACGCUGGAAAUUUCACCUGGCUGUGAGAAGCUCUGAUAGCUUAGGGAAAAUCAGCCCUGUUCAAGAGACCCUCCGCUAACAUCACAUACGCCUCAUAUUAUCAUGUGGAUGGAAAGCAGGGUUGAAAUGGCACCACAGACAAUUUCACUGAAGCCAGUGGGACUGUGCUGGAGAGAAGAAAUAUAAACGUUGCAUCCACUUGCAAAACCUACAUUCGGGCAUUUGAUUGGUUCCAUGAAUUUUGCAGCCAUAAUUGUCAGAAGCAGGAUGUACUCCAGUUUUAGAUUCUGUCUAAAACUUUCUACCCAGAAGACAAACUCCAAUGCCUUCAUCAACCCUUCUCCUGAAGUUGUUCAGUUUUCACAGACCAAUUAAAUUUCCACUAAGGCAAAGAGAGAGAGAGACACAGAGGAACUGAAUGUGACUGUAGCCUACCAGCUGGGGGUCUUUGGAAGAGGAAGACUUGUAGCUUACAUUACUCAUCUGUGGUAGAAGAUGACUUAAAACUUGGCUGGGUAUUUGGUUGAUUUCCAAGAAAACGCUUUUAUCAUUCUCUUGCCAGUAGGAUGACUAAAUUUGUCAGUUCUGUGAGCCGUUUCCUCCAACGCAGGAUAGGUCAGAGCAAUGGUGCACAGGUUGCAGAGGAGCUCUGAAUGCACCUGGUGGCACUGACUCACUGCACAGCCCUCAGCCUCCAUGCCUGAGUCAUUGUCGUGCUGUAGCCCCAUUGCAGUGAUGUCACGCGUGUCAUCAUGGCCAUUAGUGGCUUUACUCCCAAAACCUGGGAAUUUGAGAUUACUUGGUAAAUCAAAUGGUAUAAGUGCUGUGCUCACCAAGGCGUUAUAUAGUUUCUCUGGCUCUGGGUAUACUUGAUCACCACAAUCAGACUGAACAGCUUCAGCAGAAGGAAAAAUGAACUCGCUGCUCCUGCCUCCGUCUGCAUACUCUGCGCCUCACAUAGUGCUGUGUGAGAGGUGCCACACAUGCACAGAAGGUCCUUCAGAGGGAAUCUGCUAAAUGCAGCUGAGCAUGAAGACCACCAUAGUAGCAGGUGGAAGCACUGAGUUUCCAGUUUCCUGACGAGUUUGAGAUAGACUCUAAAUUAGGGCUUUUGAGCAAGGGACAAUGGCCGUCUUGGAUCACACAGGCCAGCCAGGCAAGGUGUAGAGUAUUGAGUGAGCACAGGUGGCUCAGGGCAUCCCACAAAACAGGGUAUUUGGGUACCUCCUGGUGCCUAGAUGUUCCCACUCCACAACUACAGUGAUGGUUUUGAGGAUUAACCCUUGGGAACAGACACUCCAGGGAAAACAUGGGCUGUAUUAAAAACAAAGGUCUUUCAUGAGCAGAGGUCCAAGGCUCAGGAUGUGCCACCAAACCAGAUUGCCUUCAUAUGCUGCAUACUGACACAGGAUCGCAGGUCUCUAACCCUGCCUACGAGGAGAAAGGAAACACAGAUGCUUCCUCCAGUAGAGAGAGUUGACACUGUUUUUUGCCAUUUGUGCCCAUUUUGAUGCAAGUGUCUCUGGCCUUGCAAGAGAAAGAAGCAGAUGGGAUGGACAGCUAAUUUGUGCCAGAGAGCAAAGCCUUGCCUGCAUACUGUAUAAUGUAUAUGGCACCCUGCGCUUCUUCCAAGCUCAAUUCCUCCCAAAACUCCUGAGGGGCUAAUUGCUCGUCUGUGCAGUCUCCUUCACCAGCUUGUGCUCGAUAAACUGUUACUGAGCAUUUAACAUCCUCUGCUUUUGCUCUCCGCUUACCACCUGCAUUUCGCCCACUUGGCUGAGCAAAUCAGUCCCCCUGUUUCUCUUUCAUUUCACCUUCUGUUCCUCUUUCCCAAUGUCAAAUUGCUCAGGUUGCAAAUAGUAGUGGUGAAUGUUUCACUACAAACAGUGGGUUUCAGUUACUUGUUUGAUGUUUCAUUAGAAGAUGACUCUGAAAAAUAAUAUUUUUCAGCUUAUUAAAAUAAAACCUCUGUUUUGGAGGUUGACAGAGACUUGACAGCAUUUCUUUAAUUGACAGCUGGAGGCAACAUAACACAUCUUUUGCUUAGAAGCAGGGAUAUCUGAUGCAUGACAUUUUAAUUCUGCAAGCAAUCAGAUAGGUGGUUUUAUUGAGUGGUCAGCAGCUUUUGCCUAAGAAAUCUCUCAAAGCCAAGAAUGCACAGCAGAUAAAGACCAAUAUCUCCAACUCUUUAUGAACAUCUUUGACAGCUUAUCAAGGCCUGAUUCUGCCACCUUGCAUCAAAACUUUUAUAGAUUUUUUGUGUGGUUUGCCUUAGUAAGGAUGACAGAGUCAGCAUCUGAAUUUGUUCUACCCACCGUACCAGAUCUCCAGGAGGCCAUUCAUCAGGAGACAGCAAUUAAUAGAGUCAUUAUACUGCAGACAAAUUACAAAGUUCAGCUGUUUUAAACCAGAAUUUAUAGCACUGGGCCCAUGCUUGGGAUGAACACUACAGAUUAGUACAACCAGCUUCAGAGCAAUCCCUUCCAUCUUGCAAAAAAAAAGUGAGUGUCAUGAGUAUGUAUCAGACAGGAAUGAAAACUUUUGUAAUUUUCCAGGGAGAGAAAAACAGAAGACAUUCAUACAGACUAGCUCAGAGGUUAGGGCCUUCCCUUACCUUACAGGAUAAGUGUGCUGAGUCAGGCUGCCAUAUCUGCAUCCAAAAAACCCUCUUUGUCUGAAAAAAAAUGUUUUCAUCAACAAUUUUUCAAGUAGAUAGCCAUUUUAUUACUGUUAAGACUGCAUCUGAAAAAUGUCCAAAGACAUGAAGCUCACCACAUAUCUCCUAAUCUGGUGUGCAUCCUUCAUACACUUCAGGGUUUAAAAUCCUAUGUAUCUAUCCCAUCCAACCAACCAUGCACUGUACUUAGGUAAUUAUUGCCAGAUGGUGAGAUGCAUUCUAUUUUGAAUACCUAUAUGUUUGCUUAUGUAAAUGCAUAGAGAAAAACAUUUGCUGCAUUUUGCUAUGUUAAUGUAAAAUGGUGUUCCAAUGUUUUAUUGUUUUGUCAGAUCCUUCUGCUAGUAAAGCAGAUUGAACUAUUUAAAUGCAAUCAGUUGUUUUAUAAACUGGAGGUUUGUCUUAAGUAGUUAUUUUGAAUUGGUUUAAUUUUUCCCGUACAUAUUGACAGUACAGUGUCUGCUGAAGGCUAAAGUCAUUUUAAAUAUCUCGCCGGACAAUAAGAAAAAGCAUGUUGCAGAAUUUAACUGUCUCAGUAAAUUGGUCCGAAAUGAGCCAUUGCAAGCAUUCUCUUUUUCUAAGGAAAGUCUUUCUUCUACUGAAAAGGUAUACUCUUUGAAUAAGUACAUAUAGCUUACAACAAUUCAAUCUCAAGAACAGCAUCCUUGCAACAGUAAUAAGUCAAUUAAAUUAAUUUCACUAAGAAGACACACUAUAAGAUUAAAAGUAAUACGGCAAAUAAAUAAAGAUCGUUGUAUAGUCGCAGAGACAUAAAAUAACAUCCAAGUCACAGAACCAUGGUGCCAUCUAUUGGCAGCAUUCCUUUUCACAAAGACUAUUAAAACAAGAACCCAAAAUGUAUUUUCUCACAUUUUUGAGGGUGUGGAGUCCCCUUCUCUGGAGGUUUUCAAAACCCACCUGGAUGCCUUCCUGAGUGACUUGAUCUAGCAAGACCUGCUUGAGCAAGGGGGUUGGAUGAGAUGAUUUCCAGAGGUCCCUUCCAACCCCUACCAUUCUGUGAUUCUGUGAUUUUUGUUCUCCUCACCUUAAAACCAAAAUAAAUGUGUU